Neltuma alba is the source of this 2116-nucleotide long non-coding RNA. RefSeq lists it as uncharacterized. Lineage: Eukaryota; Viridiplantae; Streptophyta; Magnoliopsida; Fabales; Fabaceae. The record is from RefSeq and is a predicted model, not a curated record. The transcript is spliced from 4 exons.
UUCUCGCUUUCUGCUUCCUUAUCUGCCUGUUCCCUCAUUCGGCUGUGAUGGAUCCACAGAGAGGACGUUCUCGACGUGAAAACGUGAGGCGUUUAUUAACAAUCAAGAGGCACAACUUUUUUCAGGACUCUCCGCUUUGCUGCCUUAUGGGGAGUGCGGCGCCGUCUUCCCGUCGCCACCUCUGUUCAGAUACCUAAUGGACAAACACACAAUGGCUUCUUCAAAUCUUUCGAUUUACUUCCCAGUUCCCACGCUAUCUCUCUUUCUGUUUCCUUGGCUUCUUGUUCUUUCCUUUUUUUUUUCAACUGAAACCCCCGCUUUGUUCCUGUUUGUCUCUUUGUUCUCUCUACUCUCAGUCUUCUCGUUCUCGUUUUUCUGCACCCUGCAUGCCUGCUUUGCAAAUCAAGAAUACUGACCUUCAAGAACAAGCCAUCGACCUGGAAGGAGCCUCCUUCCCACACUGGCUUGCAAAUCCUCCAAUCGCUUGGGAGAUAUUCCUCAGCGAUGAGGAAGAUGGUCCGCUUACAAGUGUAGCUGGGCUCCCGACGGAUGGCAUUUAGCCAUUGUUCUUAACGAUUUUCAUGCAUAUUUUUGACAUUCCAUCAUAGAUAGGAAGAUGGCAGAGCUUACUGGUUAUACGUCCAAUAAGUGGCUGCUGAGGAAAGCUUGCAUAUCUCGGAUGUGUUUGGAGACCCAAAAAUAGAUAUUUCACCACUUGCAGUGCUUUUACGAUUGUCGUUGCCAUGAGGAGUGCUGAUACUACCAACAAACGUUUCUGGUUCCCCUUCAGCUUUCAAGGCUUUUAAAACUCCUUUUCAGGACCAAUGGUCCUUUCAACUCUUCAGUUUAUCUGAUAUGUAGAUUCUAAGUGAGAAACAUAUAAUUUAUUAUCUAAUGUAGUUUUAGAGUUUUUUUUUUUUUUUUUUAUGGCUGAUUUAGUUUACAUAUGAGUUUCUUGAAUUGAUUAUUACUUAAUCUAAGCAAUUUGUGUUGAUUUGUUGAAAGCCAUGUGGGAAUAGUUUUUGCUUUGCAUGCAACAUUACGUCUCCCGUAAUGUCUUCAUUGGAUCAGUAUUUACGAUUGCUCUCCUGACCCAUUAUAAGACUGGCUGCCAUCUCGUUUGCUUUCACACAUAAGUAGUAGAUGUAUAUGGAGCAUUCUAUUUUUGAUCUCUUGAUUUGAUUAGGUGUAAUGCAUCAUGUUAUAUUUGUUUAAUAUCAGCCAUCUUCUCGUAGGAUUGCUUAUCCUCAGUUAUAUUAAUCUAAUAGGAUUGGUUCACUUGCAGAGAGAGGAUUUUUUAUAAUGACCUUUAGGACCUUUAGAGUUACUUCAUUUGAACCGCAUGAAUGUUUUGAACUUUUAUCUCCUGAAACUUUGUUUUCCAAAUAAGGGUAGAGCUUCUACUCUGUUGUCAAACUAAUUAGCGAAGACCUAAGCAGGAAGGGGGAAUGUGCCCUUAAAACCAGCUUGUAAGAGAGAGAGCCACCCCCUAAAGAGCCACAUAAAUUACCUUACGGUCUUAACAUGGUAUAUAUAUCCUUUUGCUAAGUUGUGCUAUAUAAUUGGCAUAUAACUGUAAAGUGAUAAAGUGAUCUGAACUUUAUAUGAUCAUAUAGAGGCCCUGUAAUUGAUAUUUUGUAAUGUUCUGUAAACUUGGUUUUUGGAGGGCGUUGUUUCUAAUUUAACAUGCUACUAAUACCAUGAUACUCUUUGGCUUCAAAAUGUCAAUUAUCCAGAUUAAGUUACAUGAGGUCUCUAUAAAGUAAACAAAAUUUAAUGAUUUCUUUUCUUCUCGCUUCUAUCAUAUUUCUUACUAUUUUCAAUAGCCAUGUUUGAUUUUCAUUUUCUGAUCCCUCAAUAUAUUUGGCAGCACAAUGCUAGUUUAAUGGAUGGUCAAAAUCAAUAUAUUGUAAGUUUUCAUUCUAGCCUAAGGCCAUCUUCUCCUGUAUCUAAUGGGGAAGCUGUAUCAUCUAAUAAGAGGUAGAUAGUUUACUAAUCUUCACUGUAUUAUGUUUCCAUGUUUCAUUAUUACCAUAUUAACUCUUAAUGAUGACUUUAUAGCAACUUAUAGGUUUUAGAUUUUUAUUUUUUUAAGCACCAAUUAUAAAUUCUAGCU